RNAcentral lists this ribosomal RNA (460 nucleotides) under uncultured bacterium. Its description in RNAcentral is "partial 16S ribosomal RNA". It matches the Rfam family "Bacterial small subunit ribosomal RNA", at positions 338 to 795 of the family's 1533-position model. The record is from RNAcentral.
CCUACGGGGUGCAGCAGUGAGGAAUAUUGGGCAAUGGACGAGAGUCGGAACCAGCCAAGUAGCGGGAAGGAUGACUGCCCUAUGGGUUGUAAACUUCUUUUAUAGGGGAAUAAAAUGUUCCACGUGUGGGAUUUUGCAUGUACUUUAUGAAUAAGGAUCGGCUAACUCCGUGCCAGCAGCCGCGGUAAUACGGAGGAUCCGAGCGUUAUCCGGAUUUAUUGGGUUUAAAGGGAGCGUAGAUGGGUUGUUAAGUCAGUUGUGAAAGUUUGCGGCUCAACCGUCAAAUUGCAAUUGAUACUGGCAGUCUUGAGUACAGUUGAGGUAGGCGGAAUUCGUGGUGUAGCGGUGAAAUGCUUAGAUAUCACGCAGAACCCCGAUUGCGAAGGCAGCUUACUAAACUGUGACUGACAUUGAUGCUCGAAAGUGUGGGUAUCAAACAGGAUUAGAUACCCGUGUAGUC